Molecule: ribosomal RNA, 842 nt
Filed under: Apiospora arundinis
Lineage: Eukaryota; Fungi; Ascomycota; Sordariomycetes; Amphisphaeriales; Apiosporaceae
Description: LSU rRNA
Rfam family: Eukaryotic large subunit ribosomal RNA
Source: RNAcentral
CGGCGAGUGAAGCGGGAACAGCUCAAAUUUGAAAUCUGGCCCUUGGGUCCGAGUUGUAAUUUGCAGAGGAUGCUUUUGGUGCGGUGCCUUCCGAGUUCCCUGGAACGGGACGCCUUAGAGGGUGAGAGCCCCGUACGGUUGGCCACCAAGCCUGUGUAAAGCUCCUUCGACGAGUCGAGUAGUUUGGGAAUGCUGCUCAAAAUGGGAGGUAUAUUUCUUCUAAAGCUAAAUACUGGCCAGAGACCGAUAGCGCACAAGUAGAGUGAUCGAAAGAUGAAAAGCACUUUGAAAAGAGGGUUAAAUAGCACGUGAAAUUGUUGAAAGGGAAGGAUUUAUGACCAGACUUUUUCUGGGGGGAUCAUCCGGUGUUCUCACCGGUGCACUUCCCCCAGUUGAGGCCAGCAUCGGUUUCUGCCGGGGGAUAAAAGCUUUGGGAAUGUGGCUCCUUCGGGAGUGUUAUAGCCCGUUGCAUAAUACCCUGGCGGGGACCGAGGUUCGCGCAUUGCAAGGAUGCUGGCGUAAUGGUUAUUAAUCACCCGUCUUGAAACACGGACCAAGGAGUCGAACAUUUGUGCGAGUGUUUGGGUGUUAAACCCUCACGCGUAAUGAAAGUGAACGGAGGUGAGAGCCUUUAGGGGUGCAUCAUCGACCGAUCCUGAUGUCUUCGGAUGGAUUUGAGUAAGAGCAUAACUGUUCGGACCCGAAAGAUGGUGAACUAUGCGUGGAUAGGGUGAAGCCAGAGGAAACUCUGGUGGAGGCUCGCAGCGGUUCUGACGUGCAAAUCGAUCGUCAAAUCUGCGCAUGGGGGCGAAAGACUAAUCGAACCAUCUAGUAGCUGGUAC